UAGAGUUUGAUCCUGGCUCAGAACGAACGCUGGCGGCGUGGAUAAGACAUGCAUAGUCGAGCGGGAUUUUCUUUGGUAGCAAUACCGAGGAAAAUUCAACGGCGAACGGGUGCGUAACACGUGGGCAAUUUGCCUUAAAGUGUGGGAUAGCUCGGCGAAAGCCGAAUUAAUACCGCACGUGGCUACUGGAGACAUCUUCGGGACGCUAAAGGUGGCGCAAGCUACCGCUUUUUGAGGAGCCCGCGGCCUAUCAGCUUGUUGGUGAGGUAACGGGUCACCAAGGCGUUGACGGGUAGCUGGUCUGAGAGGACGACCAGCCACACUGGGACUGAGACAAGGCCCAGACACCUACGGGUGGCAGCAGUCGAGAAUUUUGGAGAAUGGGGGAAACCCUGAUCGAGCGACGCCGCGUGGAGGAUGAAAGUCUUCG
Molecule: ribosomal RNA, 430 nt
Filed under: uncultured Verrucomicrobiota bacterium
Lineage: Bacteria; Pseudomonadati; Verrucomicrobiota
Description: bacterial SSU rRNA
Rfam family: Bacterial small subunit ribosomal RNA
Source: RNAcentral